GUUCAGUUGACGUAAUUGUUGUUGACAGUGUGGCUGCUCUUGUUCCUAAAGGGGAGCUUGAUGGUGAAAUGGGGGAUGCACACAUGGCAAUGCAGGCUAGGUUGAUGAGCCAGGCCCUUCGGAAAUUAAGCCACUCCUUGUCAGUUUCUCAAUGUAUAUUGAUUUUUAUAAACCAGGUAAGGUCAAAGCUUUCUACUUUUGGUGGAUUCGGUUGGCCCCAGGAAG
Arachis stenosperma is the source of this 225-nucleotide long non-coding RNA. RefSeq lists it as uncharacterized. Lineage: Eukaryota; Viridiplantae; Streptophyta; Magnoliopsida; Fabales; Fabaceae. The record is from RefSeq and is a predicted model, not a curated record. The transcript has 3 exons.